RNAcentral lists this ribosomal RNA (926 nucleotides) under Hebeloma hiemale. RNAcentral describes it as "partial large subunit ribosomal RNA". It matches the Rfam family "Eukaryotic large subunit ribosomal RNA", at positions 40 to 952 of the family's 3401-position model. Lineage: Eukaryota; Fungi; Basidiomycota; Agaricomycetes; Agaricales; Hymenogastraceae. The record is from RNAcentral.
AUAUCAAUAAGCGGGGAAAAGAAACUAACAAGGAUUCCCCUAGUAACUGCGAGUGAAGCGGGAAAAGCUCAAAUUUAAAAUCUGGCGGUCUCUGGCCGUCCGAGUUGUAAUCUAGAGAAGUGUUAUCCGCGCUGGACCGUGUACAAGUCUCCUGGAAUGGAGCGUCAUAGAGGGUGAGAAUCCCGUCUUUGACACGGACUGCCAGGGCUUUGUGAUGCGCUCUCAAAGAGUCGAGUUGUUUGGGAAUGCAGCUCAAAAUGGGUGGUAAAUUCCAUCUAAAGCUAAAUAUUGGCGAGAGACCGAUAGCGAACAAGUACCGUGAGGGAAAGAUGAAAAGAACUUUGGAAAGAGAGUUAAACAGUACGUGAAAUUGCUGAAAGGGAAACGCUUGAAGUCAGUCGCGUUGGCCGGGGAUCAACCUUGCUUUUGCUGGGCGUACUUUCCGGUUGACGGGUCAGCAUCAAUUUUGACCGUUGGAUAAAGUCCAGGGGAAUGUGGCAUCUUCGGAUGUGUUAUAGCCCUUGGUCGCAUACAACGAUUGGGAUUGAGGAACUCAGCACGCCGCAAGGCCGGGUACUUGUACCACGUUCGUGCUUAGGAUGCUGGCAUAAUGGCUUUAAUCGACCCGUCUUGAAACACGGACCAAGGAGUCUAACAUGCCUGCGAGUGUUUGGGUGGAAAACUCGGACGCGUAAUGAAAGUGAAAGUUGAGAUCCCUGUCGUGGGGAGCAUCGACGCCCGGACCAGACCUUUUGUGACGGAUCCGCGGUAGAGCAUGUAUGUUGGGACCCGAAAGAUGGUGAACUAUGCCUGAAUAGGGUGAAGCCAGAGGAAACUCUGGUGGAGGCUCGUAGCGAUUCUGACGUGCAAAUCGAUCGUCAAAUUUGGGUAUAGGGGCGAAAGACUAAUCGAAYCAUCUAGUAGCU